UCGUUAAAUGUCUUCUCUUUCCUU
This 24-nucleotide small RNA is filed under the name Arabidopsis thaliana (thale cress). RNAcentral's name for it is "ATSL111060". Lineage: Eukaryota; Viridiplantae; Streptophyta; Magnoliopsida; Brassicales; Brassicaceae. The record is from RNAcentral.